RNAcentral lists this ribosomal RNA (483 nucleotides) under uncultured bacterium. RNAcentral describes it as "partial 16S ribosomal RNA". It matches the Rfam family "Bacterial small subunit ribosomal RNA", at positions 28 to 523 of the family's 1533-position model. The record is from RNAcentral.
GACGAACGCUGGCGGCGUGCUUAACACAUGCAAGUCGAACGAUGAAGCUGGAGCUUGCUCCGGUGGAUUAGUGGCGAACGGGUGAGUAACACGUGAGCAAUCUGCCCUUGACUCUGGGAUAACUGCGGGCAACUGUAGCUACUACCGGAUACUUUCACUGGAAGGCAUCUUCUGGUGAAGACAGAAUUUCGGUCAAGGUUGAGCUCGCGUCCUAUCAGCUUGUUGGUGAGGUAACGGCUCACCAAGGCGACGACGGGUAGCCGGCCUGAGAGGGUGACCGGCGACAGUGGGACUGAGACACGGCCCAGACUCCUACGGGAGGCAGCAGUGGGGAAUAUUGCACAAUGGGCGCAAGCCUGAUGCAGCAACGCCGCGUGAGGGAUGAAGGCCUUCGGGUUGUAAACCUCUUUUGGCAGGGAAGAAGCGAAAGUGACGGUACCUGCAGAAAAGCACCGGCUAACUACGUGCCAGCAGCCGCCGUAA